AACGAACGCUGGCGGCAUGCCUAACACAUGCAAGUCGAACGAGACCUUCGGGUCUAGUGGCGCACGGGUGCGUAACGCGUGGGAACCUGCCCUUAGGUUCGGAAUAACUCCCCGAAAGGGGUGCUAAUACCGGAUAAUGUCUUCGGACCAAAGAUUUAUCGCCUUUGGAUGGGCCGGCGUUGGAUUAGCUAGUUGGUAGGGUAAAAGCCUACCAAGGCGACGAUCCAUAGCUGGUCUGAGAGGAUGAUCAGCCACACUGGGACUGAGACACGGCCCAGACUCCUACGGGAGGCAGCAGUGGGGAAUAGUGGACAAUGGGCGAAAGCCUGAUCCAGCAAUGCCGCGUGAGUGAUGAAGGCCGUAGGGUUGUAAAGCUCUUUUACCCGGGAUGAUAAUGACAGUACCGGGAGAAUAAGCUCCGGCUAACUCCGUG
This 433-nucleotide ribosomal RNA is filed under the name uncultured bacterium. RNAcentral's name for it is "partial 16S ribosomal RNA". It matches the Rfam family "Bacterial small subunit ribosomal RNA", at positions 29 to 507 of the family's 1533-position model. The record is from RNAcentral.